UCGAGUUUUUUUGGUUAGCUCCGAAAACUCCCCACCCUUGUGUAUUUUCGCUGAAAAGCAGCUUCGGCGGGCCGUCAGACCUUAGCAAUAGGGUCCUGACAUCGGCUUUGUGCGGAUUUGCGUCCGCCGAAGAAACAACUCUUACAAUUUGAAGUCUGAUAAAAUAACAAAAAUAAAUCA
This 180-nucleotide unclassified non-coding RNA is filed under the name uncultured Sordariomycetes. Its description in RNAcentral is "sequence contains ITS1". Lineage: Eukaryota; Fungi; Ascomycota; Sordariomycetes. The record is from RNAcentral.